RNAcentral lists this long non-coding RNA (507 nucleotides) under Physcomitrium patens. RNAcentral's name for it is "long non-coding RNA (PPAT_LNC010923)". Lineage: Eukaryota; Viridiplantae; Streptophyta; Bryopsida; Funariales; Funariaceae. The record is from RNAcentral.
UAAGGUUGUCCUAAAAUCAACGGAUAAGACGUUGUAUCUUGAACAAAGAAAUGUUGCUCCGUCGCAACAUCUCCAAUCCGAAUUUUGACAUCUGGACAAGCUCCAUAUAAUUCGCCCCGUGUGUUAUUAGCUGCUCGUAUUGUCCAUCCAUGUUCCAUAUCAAUUGGCCAUUUUUGCUUCUUAUAAAGAUCAUUAGACAUGAGAUUUAUUUCAGAACCAUGGUCGAUUAAAGCAACAAUUGGUUCUUCUAUAUCUCCAAUACCUCAGUAGUUGUCCUUGCCUAAUGCUUUCGAGUAUAAUGGCUCAAAGUUUCCAUUUUCUUAUCACUAUAAUCUUCGAAAUAUACUCGUUGAUUAUACCCAUUCUUUUCAUUUGUUGGUUGCUUGUAACCAAUAUCAACCUCUUCUUCAUCUUUAUAUAUUCUUGCAUCAAUAGCAUGACUCAUUCCAGUUUUGCCCAUUAAUUACCUCUUUCGCUUAAUGCUGUCAAUGAUAACAUCAUGAAACU